GACGAACGCGGGCGGCGUGCCUAAUACAUGCAAGUCGAGCGAAGUUUUUCUGGUGCUUGCACCGGAAAAACUUAGCGGCGAAGGGGUGAGUAACACGUAAAGAACCUGCCUCAUAGACUGGGACAACUAUUGGAAACGAUAGCUAAUACCGGAUAACAGCAUUAACUGCAUGGUUGAUGUUUAAAAGUUGGUUUUGCUAACACUAUGAGAUGGCUUUGCGGUGCAUUAGCUAGUUGGUGGGGUAAAGGCCUACCAAGGCGAGCGAUGCAUAGCCGACCUGAGAGGGCUGAUCGGCCACACUGGGAUUGAGACACGGCCCAGACUCCUACGGGAGGCAGCAGUAGGGAAUCUUCCGCAAUGGGCGAAAGCCUGACGGAGCAACGCGGCGUGAGUGAAGAAGGAUUUCGGUUCGUAAAGCUC
This 420-nucleotide ribosomal RNA is filed under the name Gemella haemolysans. RNAcentral's name for it is "bacterial SSU rRNA". It matches the Rfam family "Bacterial small subunit ribosomal RNA", at positions 28 to 433 of the family's 1533-position model. Lineage: Bacteria; Bacillati; Bacillota; Bacilli; Caryophanales; Gemellaceae. The record is from RNAcentral.